GACUGUGUGGAGUAGUGGUUUCAGCACUGGAUUAUGACUCUGGAGAUCAGGGUUCAAAUGCCUGCUGAGCCA
Non-coding RNA from Phrynosoma platyrhinos (Desert horned lizard), 72 nucleotides. Lineage: Eukaryota; Metazoa; Chordata; Lepidosauria; Squamata; Phrynosomatidae. The record is from the annotation of a GenBank genome assembly.